CUCAAGAACAUGGGCUCAGUUCUCAGGCUCUGGCUCUUCCUCUUAGCGAAACCUGAAAUCUAUCUGACUGCGGAUCCUCAGAAUGAAGGUGUUGGGAUUCAGACACUGACUUGUUUGGCUGCGGGAUUUUUCCCGAGGGAUCUGACCAUUUCCUGGAUUGUUGAGGGGGAUGUCUCCUAUCAGGAGGAGCCGGGCUCGCUGACAGUAAACACGGACAGCAGUUACAACCUGAGCUCCCGGCUGCGGAUUGCAAGGCCCCAGCGGGAGCAGGGAGCCACCGUCUCCUGUCACAUUCAGCACAGGACCUUCACUGGGUCAGUGAGGACAAGGCUCAGAGACGGUCCAGGACUAUUCAAGCUUUUGGAAAUUUCUAAAGUUUAUCUGGAAUGGCCAUGGCUAAGUGGAAUUCCACUCCUAUCGUUAAGGUUUACUCCAGAACACAGGGACAAUAAACUCCAAGACUCUGCAGCUUUAGGAUGCGUUCAAGACUGGUUACCUGUAAUGCAGUGCUAAAAACCCCUACCUUCUAUUGCAUGUCAAUUUUUUUUUGGAUUCAAUUUAAACUACUUUGUUAUUGUGAAAGAUCAA
Non-coding RNA from Chiloscyllium plagiosum (whitespotted bambooshark), 588 nucleotides. The record is from the annotation of a RefSeq genome assembly. NCBI's taxonomy places the organism in Eukaryota, Metazoa, Chordata, Chondrichthyes, Orectolobiformes, Hemiscylliidae.